RNAcentral lists this ribosomal RNA (253 nucleotides) under uncultured bacterium. Its description in RNAcentral is "partial 16S ribosomal RNA". It matches the Rfam family "Bacterial small subunit ribosomal RNA", at positions 524 to 776 of the family's 1533-position model. The record is from RNAcentral. RNAcentral also lists the same sequence under 1 other name.
GACGAACCGAGCGAACGUUGUUCGGAAUCACUGGGCUUAAAGGGCGCGUAGGCGGCUUGCCAAGUCCGGGGUGAAAUCCUGCAGCUUAACUGUAGAAGGGCCUUGGAUACUGGCAAGCUCGAGGGAGGUAGGGGUAUGUGGAACUUCCGGUGGAGCGGUGAAAUGCGUUGAUAUCGGAAGGAACGCCGGUGGCGAAAGCGACGUACUGGACCUCUUCUGACGCUGAGGCGCGAAAGCUAGGGGAGCAAACGGG